Molecule: ribosomal RNA, 497 nt
Filed under: uncultured bacterium
Lineage: Bacteria
Description: partial 16S ribosomal RNA
Rfam family: Bacterial small subunit ribosomal RNA
Source: RNAcentral
GACGAACGCUGGCGGCGUGCCUAAUACAUGCAAGUUGAGCGAUGAAGUUUGGUGCUUGCACCAAUUUGAAGAGCAGCGAACGGGUGAGUAACGCGUGGGGAAUCUGCCUUUGAGCGGGGGACAACAUUUGGAAACGAAUGCUAAUACCGCAUAACAACUUUAAACAUAAGUUUUAAGUUUGAAAGAUGCAAUUGCAUCACUCAAAGAUGAUCCCGCGUUGUAUUAGCUAGUUGGUGAGGUAAAGGCUCACCAAGGCGAUGAUACAUAGCCGACCUGGGAGGGGGGUCGGCCACAUUGGGACUGGGACACGGCCCAAACUCCUACGGGAGGCAGCCGGAGGGAAUCUUCGGCAAUGGACGAAAGUCUGGACGGGCAACGCCGCGUGAGUGGAGAAGGUUUUCGGAUCGUAAAACUCUGUUGGUAGAGAAGAACGUUGGUGAGAGUGGAAAGCUCAUCAAGUGACGGUAACUACUCAGAAAGGGACGGCUAACUACGUG